AACCUUAAAACCCCCUUAAACUUCCAACAAAAUAACUUUUCAGAAGUUAAACUAUUAACUAUUAAAAACUUUUCACCUCUUUCAUCAAAGUUACCUGAUGAUUAUCAACAACAGUCAUGGAGUACUUUAGAAAAAGCUAUUCAGGCCAUCGACAAUUCCAAGAACUUGCCCGUUUAUCUUGAGGAACUUUACAGAAUAGUUGAGAAUUUAUGCAC
This is a long non-coding RNA of Zophobas morio, 215 nucleotides long. RefSeq lists it as uncharacterized. Lineage: Eukaryota; Metazoa; Arthropoda; Insecta; Coleoptera; Tenebrionidae. The record is from RefSeq and is a predicted model, not a curated record. The transcript has 3 exons.